AUGCAAGGGCAAAGAAGAACCAACACAAUUGCAUUGGUAGCAAGGGUAAAAUUCAAGAUACAAGGUUCAAGAUCAGGUGUUCUGGUGAAGAUAAGUUUUUGCUCAGAAGCAUUGAGGCUACAGAUGAGAUCAAAUGAAGGAUCAACAUCCGCCUUCUUUCUAAAAUUCGUUGUUUUCUACAAGUUAGUUAAGUAUCACACCUCUUCGAAUUGAGCUACUGGAUGCCCUGGUGGAGCUCCCUGCAGUUGUGGCAUUUGAACACUGAGUGGCACUAAAGCCCACGGCACCGGCAAUGCAAGGUAUCCAAAAUAGGUCUUUAACGCAGGAGGAUGCAAACGACUAGGUAACUGCUGAAAAUGCUGGAUUUUUGUAUGACAGGAGAGGGAGGUUUUAUAGAUGCAAACUUGUAACAGGCACAUCCUGCAUAUCUUACACAUGUUGUCUCCCAAGCUACUUUUGAGGAGGAAUUUAUCUUAAGCUUUACUAAGGGAUCAUUCUGGAUCUGCUGAAGAAUUCUUCUGACUAUAUUUUUUUAAUAUUUGUUGACCUUAAUUCUUAGGUUCAAGCAGGUGCAGUAUAUUAAAAACAAGCCAUUCUUCUGGAAGUCCUGUAUAAAUUUGAUAUUCAAAUACAAUUUCUUAGUUUGUUUAGCUCAGAGAAUGCAUGGAGAAAAUCCUAAUGCUGUAAAUACUCUUGAACAACCAUGAUGUUAUUUUUAAAAAUUAUUUGUGAUCAACAAUUCAGAUUUUGCAAUACCCCAUGGUUCUGGGGAAAUUUUGUAUUAUUUAAAGUUAUCUGAGGCCCAGCUCCUGUCUGCUUAAAAGGUAUAGAUUGAUCAAAGGCUUUUAAUCUUCCUUCAAAAAUAAAUAGCUCUUGCUUUUAUUGUAGGAACCCUGU
This 897-nucleotide long non-coding RNA is filed under the name Parus major (Great Tit). Its description in RNAcentral is "lncRNA (ENSPMJG00000019647.1)". Lineage: Eukaryota; Metazoa; Chordata; Aves; Passeriformes; Paridae. The record is from RNAcentral.